Molecule: long non-coding RNA, 230 nt
Organism: Episyrphus balteatus (marmalade hoverfly)
Lineage: Eukaryota; Metazoa; Arthropoda; Insecta; Diptera; Syrphidae
Exons: 3
Source: RefSeq, a predicted model, not a curated record
GUUAAACUCGAUCUACCGUACUGUCAACUCGAUCCUACAUGUAUACGUAUACCUAUGAAUCUUUUAUUUUCUUAUCGCUGUCAAUCUGUCAUUCUCAUUCAUUUAAAUUUCGUGCGAUGAUCGCGACUGUCACCGAGGGAACCUCCUUCAGGGAUUUCACCAAGGAAAAAGAAUGGUCAUGAUUGCAUCGGAUGGACCAGUUCCCCAGGCGUCCGUAACAAGAUAUUGGA